RNAcentral lists this ribosomal RNA (109 nucleotides) under uncultured bacterium. RNAcentral's name for it is "partial 16S ribosomal RNA". It matches the Rfam family "Bacterial small subunit ribosomal RNA", at positions 355 to 462 of the family's 1533-position model. The record is from RNAcentral.
UGAGGAAUAUUGGACAAUGGAGGAGACUCUGAUCCAGCCAUGCCGCGUGCAGGAAGAAUGCCCUAUGGAUAGUAAACUGCUUUUAUACGGGAAGAAAAAGAGCUACGUG